This 497-nucleotide ribosomal RNA is filed under the name uncultured bacterium. Its description in RNAcentral is "partial 16S ribosomal RNA". It matches the Rfam family "Bacterial small subunit ribosomal RNA", at positions 28 to 507 of the family's 1533-position model. The record is from RNAcentral.
GAUGAACGCUGGCGGCGUGCCUAAUACAUGCAAGUCGAGCGAACAGACGAGGAGCUUGCUCCUCUGACGUUAGCGGCGGACGGGUGAGUAACACGUGGAUAACCUACCUAUAAGACUGGGAUAACUUCGGGAAACCGGAGCUAAUACCGGAUAAUAUAUUGAACCGCAUGGUUCAAUAGUGAAAGACGGGUUUGCUGUCACUUAUAGAUGGAUCCGCGCCGCAUUAGCUAGUUGGUAAGGUAACGGCUUACCAAGGCAACGAUGCGUAGCCGACCUGAGAGGGUGAUCGGCCACACUGGAACUGAGACACGGUCCAGACUCCUACGGGAGGCAGCAGUAGGGAAUCUUCCGCAAUGGGCGAAAGCCUGACGGAGCAACGUCGCGUGAGUGAUGAAGGUCUUCGGAUCGUAAAACUCUGUUAUUAGGGAAGAACAAAUGUGUAAGUAACUAUGCACGUCUUGACGGUACCUAAUCAGAAAGCCACGGCUAACUACGUG